Molecule: ribosomal RNA, 460 nt
Filed under: uncultured bacterium
Lineage: Bacteria
Description: partial 16S ribosomal RNA
Rfam family: Bacterial small subunit ribosomal RNA
Source: RNAcentral
CCUACGGGCGACUGCAGUGAGGAAUAUUGGUCAAUGGACGAGAGUCUGAACCAGCCAAGUAGCGUGAAGGAUGACUGCCCUAUGGGUUGUAAACUUCUUUUAUAUGGGUAUAAAAUGUUCCACGUGUGGGAUUUUGUAUGUACCAUAUGAAUAAGGAUCGGCUAACUCCGUGCCAGCAGCCGCGGUAAUACGGAGGAUCCGAGCGUUAUCCGGAUUUAUUGGGUUUAAAGGGAGCGUAGGUGGAUUGUUAAGUCAGUUGUGAAAGUUUGCGGCUCAACCGUAAAAUUGCAGUUGAAACUGGCAGUCUUGAGUACAGUAGAGGUGGGCGGAAUGCGUGGUGUAGCGGUGAAAUGCUUAGAUAUCACGAAGAACUCCGAUUGCGAAGGCAGUUCACUGGACUGCAACUGACACUGAGGCUCGAAAGUGUGGGUAUCAAACAGGAUUAGAUACCCCAGUAGUC